This 359-nucleotide long non-coding RNA is filed under the name Homo sapiens (human). Its description in RNAcentral is "HSALNT0065899". The record is from RNAcentral. Lineage: Eukaryota; Metazoa; Chordata; Mammalia; Primates; Hominidae.
AUUUGCUGCCUGUCAGAGUGGCUCUUUUGACAAACUAGAAGCUGUGGUCAAGGAUUUAAUAGAUGAGGGUCAUGCAGCAACUCAGCUCGUCAAUCAACUCCAUGAUGUGGUUGUAGAAAAUAACUUAUCUGAUAAACAGAAGUCUAUUAUCACAGAAAAACUUGCCGUAAGUAGGUACUUUGCACAUGUCAAUGGAACAUUUAACUACCUGAAGGAUGCUAAUUUCUUAAAUUUUUCUCGUAGGAAGUUGACAAAUGCCUAGCAGAUGGUGCUGAUGAACAUUUGCAACUCAUCAGCCUUUGUGCAACUGUGAUGCAGCAGUUAUCUCAGAAUUGUUAACGUGAAUAUAUCUGGAUGGG